CUUGGUCAUUUAGAGGAAGUAAAAGUCAUAACAAGGUUUCCGUAGGUGAACCUGCGGAAGGAUCAUUAAUAGUGCCCUCUGAUGCAAAUCAUUGGGUUAGAUCUGCUCUCUUCGCAAGAAGAGGGUUUCCAUACACACCGUGAACUGUGGCUUCGGCCAUCACAAACUGUUAGUAAUGAAUGUAAUAUCAUAACAAAAACAAAACUUUUAACAACGGAUCUCUUGGCUCUCGCAUCGAUGAAGAACGCAGCGAAAUGCGAUAAGUAAUGUGAAUUGCAGAAUUCAGUGAAUCAUCGAAUCUUUGAACGCACCUUGCGCCCUCUGGUAUUCCGGAGGGCAUGCCUGUUUGAGUGUCAUGUAGACUCAAUCCCUCGGGUUUCCGAGGAGAUUGGACUUGGGUGUUGCCGCUCUGCCGGCUCGCCUUAAAAGACUUAGCGGGAUAGCACCGUAGUCGGCGUAAUAAGUUUCGUCGGUGAAGGUUGUGAUGACUGCUUACAAUCGCCCUCGGGCAAUUUUUGACUCUGACCUCAAAUCAGGUAGGACUACCCGCUGAACUUAAGCAUAUCAAUAAGCGGAGGA
Molecule: ribosomal RNA, 579 nt
Filed under: uncultured Basidiomycota
Lineage: Eukaryota; Fungi; Basidiomycota
Description: eukaryotic LSU rRNA
Rfam family: 5.8S ribosomal RNA (bases 203-356)
Source: RNAcentral